UCCAAAUUCUUUCCUCUGUGUUUCAACAAUCCCUCCAUGCUCCAAUGAAAAAGCAGGUGGUUUGGUCCCCCAUGCAUCAUGGGUCCCAAAGAUUUGCCAGAGGCACAGACCUACCUAUCCAGGGGCCCUGUUCCACUCACUUUCUGUGGCUCUCUUUCAGCUCCCUGUCAGCACAGCUCUGCUUCUGCUUCUGCAUGGAUUGCCCUGUGCCUUCGAGAUCUACAAGUUUGACUUGCCAGACCCUCUGCUCCUUCCAAAUGGGUGGAAGUGGACUAUUGUAAGAGAGGGUUUUCUUUGACUGAAACAACUUGGCCAAACCAACAUGAACUCAUGAAAUGUUUCAGGGCUGCUGCAGCUGCAUUUUGCUCUGAAAAAAUGUAUUGGAUCUGGAUGAAAAAAAAAUGCCCAGGUCUAGUCAUUCACACCUGGGCAAAGUGAAGGCAAAAGGCUGCUGUUCUGAACUGUGUCUCUGCGGAGCAGGAAGCAGCUCAGCCAGGUCACCUUGCCCAAUGCCAAACAGUACCAGAGAGCAAGAGUUCCACAAGGCAGGCCUGGAGUGUGUGAAGGGAAGGUUCACGUUGCUGUUGCUUUAAGGUCCCGUCCAGCAAGAUGCUGAGCACUGAAGGAACUCAUCGCUUCACAGCAUCAGUCACGAAUGGAACUUUGUGCAUCUCUGGCUAGGGUAUACUGCUAACCACAUGGUAUUCAUACUAGCUAUGAGGGCCAACUGGAAACACAUGAGAACUGGUGGACCAUUCUGUAAGGCAUCAUUCUCAACCUUUUCGGGUUGGUGACCCCUUCUUCAUGAUCCCCUUAAUUUACUAUAAAAGUUACAACUGUAUCAAUGAUACACAUAUAUAAUUAAUCCUUGUGUGUGUUUCCAGAAGUUGACAAAGAAUACUUGACCUUGAAGAGUAAGGCUUUGUGAGAGAGGGGGAGUGAGACUUUCUCUGUAAUACUAUUUUCAAUGCCUCAUGACUCUCCUGUGUGCCUUGUCUGACCCACAUGACAAUACCAAUCCACCAGUUCAGAAACAUUGCUGUAAAAUAUUGGAAUAAGUAACAGAGCUCCCUCUAGAGGUGUUUGUAGAUUAUAUCAAUUUAAGGACAUUCUUGUGUAUCAUUCUUCCUAUUUGAUGUUGAUAAAAGUUAAUCAAAGCCUA
Molecule: non-coding RNA, 1162 nt
Organism: Chrysemys picta bellii (western painted turtle)
Lineage: Eukaryota; Metazoa; Chordata; Testudines; Emydidae
Source: RefSeq, a predicted model, not a curated record